This 506-nucleotide ribosomal RNA is filed under the name uncultured bacterium. Its description in RNAcentral is "partial 16S ribosomal RNA". It matches the Rfam family "Bacterial small subunit ribosomal RNA", at positions 29 to 523 of the family's 1533-position model. The record is from RNAcentral.
AUUGAACGCUGGCGGCAGGCCUAACACAUGCAAGUCGGACGGUAGCACAGAGGAGCUUGCUCCUUGGGUGACGAGUGGCGGACGGGUGAGUAAUGUCUGGGGAUCUGCCCGAUAGAGGGGGAUAACCACUGGAAACGGUGGCUAAUACCGCAUAACGUCGCAAGACCAAAGAGGGGGACCUUCGGGCCUCUCACUAUCGGAUGAACCCAGAUGGGAUUAGCUAGUAGGCGGGGUAAUGGCCCACCUAGGCGACGAUCCCUAGCUGGGCUGCGGGGAGGACCAGCAACACUGGAACUGAGACACGGUCCAGACUCCUACGGGAGGCAGCAGUGGGGAAUAUUGCACAAGGGGCGCAAGCCUGAUGCAGCCAUGCCGCGUGUAUGAAGAAGGCCUUCGGGUUGUAAAGUACUUUCAGCGGGGAGGAAGGCGGUGAGGUUAAUAACCUUGCCGAUUGACGUUACCCGCAGAAGAAGCACCGGCUAACUCCGUGCCAGCCGCCGCGGUAA